This is a non-coding RNA of Rattus norvegicus (Norway rat), 26301 nucleotides long. Lineage: Eukaryota; Metazoa; Chordata; Mammalia; Rodentia; Muridae. The record is from RefSeq and is a predicted model, not a curated record.
AUUGGUCAGUGGCUGAGAGCUGUAGCCAAUCAGCGCGGUUUUGGGGUCCGCAUUGCGGACCAAAGGUCCGAGUGGGCAUCUGGCGGGCACAGUGGCCUGCAGAGACUCGAGGUGUGGAGGGCAGAGCCAGGGAGGAAUGAGCAUGUCUUGGGACCCCACAGCCAGGCGCCAUCACCGCCUAUCGCUGCUCCUGGUGCUCAUGCUGCUGUCAGGAACCGGGGCUCUGUGUCCUGUGGAGCUCUUUCCUUACGGGGAGUUGUGGGGAGAUCGGCUGCCACGGGAGGGCGACGUUGAAAGCUCCCCGGCUGUGAAGCCAGCAAUACCUCUAUGCUUCUAUGGUGUCCAGUUCAGCACCCUCUAUGUGGGCACCAAUGGCAUCAUCUCCACCCAGGACUUACCCAGGGAGACUUAACAUGUCAUUGAUGAUUUUCCUACUGACUUCCCAUCCAUCGCCCCAUUCCUGGCUGACAUCCAGUGGAGUCACAGCAGUGGCCGGAUCCUGUAUGGGGGACACCUCCUGGACUGUGCUGAGUCUGGCUGCUUGCUACCUGUGCACAGGCUUCCCGCUGACCGGGUCCAGCUUCCCCACUACCAACUUCUUCCUGGCCACCUGGGAGCAAGUGGACUCCUAGGAGGAGGACAGGCUUGGGGCUGCAUGGUCUGGAGAGGUAAGGGAGGGGUACCCUGCAGCUGAAUAAACAGAAGGGUUGGGCUUGAACAGGAAACUAAGACAUUGGCUAAGAGGCAUUCCCUUGAUUCCGCUCCUCAACACUAAGAAAAUUGCUUAGUAAAAUUAGGGACUAAGGUGCAGAUACCAAAGACUCUGAGGGAACUUAAGGCACUUUACAGGUUUUUUUUUUUUCUUUUUUCUGGAAUCACCUAUAAGUACACAAAUAUUUCUAAUGAUAUGUUCAUCAAAAAAUUAAAAAUUUGGGAAAUUUAAAAAGGAACAACUUUUUUUUUUUUUUUUGUAUGAGCUGGGUGUGGUGUCACUCACCUUCAAUCCCAGCAGAGUCAGAGAGGCAAACAGAUCUCUGUGAGUUCUAGGCGAGCCUGGUCUACAAAGUGAGUUCCAGGAAAAAAUACAGAGGAACCCUGUCUGGAGAAACCAAAAAUAACCCGUAGGUUCGUGUGUACAUUUCUAGUUAUUUCUUUAAUAUGUUGCCGUUGACAACAGUGGGUAAACAGUGCCCAUAUUACUGUUUCACUUGCUAGUUCUGCUGUUUAGUAUGCUCUGGUCAGUGUAUUUCUGUAACAUUUAUUACAACCGUAUAAAAUCUCACCCUUCCUAGUGGUCAUUAACGUUGCUCCCGUGACGUUUUUUACUAUAAUUAAUACUAUAAAAUGAUUUAUAAUGUUUUUAUUUUAUUCGUGUGUGUGUGUGUGUGUGUGUGUGUGUGUCUUUCUCUGUGUCUGCUUGUUGGUAGGGCCAGAAGAGGGCUUGGGCCCCCUGAAGCUGGAGUUGUUACAUACAGGCAGUUAUGAACUGCUUGACUGACAAUGGAUACAGAGAUUUGAGCUAGCAUGCUGAAAGGACUACUAGGUGCUAAGCCACCUCUUCAAAGCCAACACUUUUUAAAGUGUCAAAACACUACACAGCCUUAGCUGACAUCACAGGAGAGUGAGCAAGCAUGCCAUGAACUUCUUAGUAAGUUCCUUGUAGCUUUCUCCACAUUGCCUUUGUAACAGUUUACAUACUUCUGUCUGCAGGAGCCUGCUUUGCAGUCUCCCUGGAGAAAACACCAACUCUGCUCUGGCUUUGGUCUUGGCAACAUGUGAAGCGGGUAUGGGUGGGUGAGGGUAAAUGGCCUCAUUCCUCCUGUAGGUAGAGACAGAGUCCUCUUGUGAAAUUCCACCUGGGUGUAAAAUGCCAUAGACCUGGAGCAAAUCUGUGUUUGCUUUAACUCCCCUAGUGCCUCUGAGCUACAGAAGUGAUGUCUUCCCUAAGAGCUUGCCCAUUGUUCCUGUGUUUGUUGUGUGAACUUAAAGGAAGAGACAUGUUUUCCUAAAACCUGCACCAGCAGAGAUGGAGAAAUUGUUUUAAGUUUCAGUUUCUUACUUGACAGGUUAACAUCCAGUUUUGUUUACUGACUAGCCUUGUAAUGCCUUGGGUUUGACAUCUCAACUACAGUUCAACAGAAUACCUUCAACUCAAACACUGCCACCUUGGCACAGGCCAGCCAGCUAGAGGGCUAGAGAAGACAGUCCCCACUGUUAAGUUUCAUUCGCUCAGUCAUUCAUUCAUACAUUCUUUUUAAAACGUUUAUCUAAUAUCAUGUAUAACAAGCUUAUAGUGGAAAAAAAUAAACUUUUCUAAUACAAGCAACUAGGUCGCCAAUUCUAAUAUUUAUAUUUUCUUACAGUCUUUUUAAAACUUGUUAAUUUAUGAGUGAGAGUGUGGGUGUGCAUGCACAUGUGUGCAUAUGCAUGUGUGAACGAGAGGUCAACUUUAAAUGUCUUUGCUUGGGAGACAUCUUGUCUUUCUACUCAGGGUCUCUCUGGGACCUGGGGCUCCCCAGUUAGGCUAGGCUUGCUGGCCAGUGAGCCCUAGGGAUCUGCUUGUUUUUCUCUCCAGGGCAGAGAUUACAAGUGUGCUGCCACGACCUGCUUUUGAUCUGGGUGCUGCCAUUCAAAUCAGGACUUCAUGCACACACAGCAAGCACUUCAUAGGCUGUGCUGCCUUCCCAGCUUCUCCUGUAAUGUUAAAAAAAAUCUAUGUCACAGGGUUAGGGUUAGGAGCUAGGGUUUAGGGUUAGGAGUAAGGGGUUAGGGUUAGGGUUAUAUAUGCAGAGAGUCAUAUAUAUCAUAUAUAAUCUCUAUCUGAACAUAGUUGAUAUUUGUUAAUUCAGAAACUACUUUUACACAUUUUCCUUAUAUCGGCACUGAAAUAGACAUAGACUCUAAGCGGAAUGCUCUUACUCUGAAUGGCCUCUCUUACAUUUAGUAGGAACACUAUUGAUAACCUUUUCUUGUGGUAAUAUGGUAGACUCUCCAGCUAGAGCUUCCUCCUAACCCAUCUUGAUUCAUGGAUUCCAUUAGCGUAGGUUUCAGUGAGCAAGCAAUUUCUCCAGGAUAGAAGGCAGAGCAUGUAUCAGCCUGUGCGCUGGAGGUUAAUGUACUAGGGGCAUGGCAGGCACAGUGUCUUUCAGAAGAGCAGGGUUCUGGGAUCUGAUGCAGGAGCACUCAAGGGUAGAGACGUUGUCCCCUCUGAGGACUGCAAUUGGUUCCUGGAAGUAGGCAGCCUUGAACGAUUUGAAGUGGGGAGUCUGACGUUUAUGUUGUUCCUUUUGUUUUGCUUUUGAUCCCCCCACCCCCCAUGCAUCUCAGGUUGGCCUCAAACCUCAUAAUGGAGGAUGAUCUUGAAUCUCUGAUCCUUUUGACCUGACUGACCUGUGCUGAGAUAGUGGGUGUGCAGCAUCACACCCUACCCAUUUGUUGGGAACUGAACCGAGAGUGCAGGCUGACCAGGCACUCUACUAGCUGAGCCACAGUCUUUCUGGUGACCUUAGUUAGUAAGGGUCGAAGGGCAAACUACUUAGACAACUGUUAAAUAGUCUGUUUGUUCACACCAUCAGACUUCUCUUUAAAUUUUUAAAAUUGUGUUUAUGCACAUGGGUCAUAUGCCUACACACGGUUGCAUGCAGUGCCCAUGGAAUACCCUGGACCGGAGUACCUGCAGUUGUGAGCUGUCAUGUGAGUGCUGGGAAAUGAACAUGGGUCCUCUGGAAGAAGAGCCAAUGAUCUCAACCAGGGAGCCAUCCCUCUGCCCCCCUCUCCUUACCUUCUUGCAGGAGUGUUUUAUACUGUCUUCUCGACACAGUCCCACAGGAUAAGUACAGUAAUAACUGUUUAUAUCACAGAAGAGAAAAUAACUUCCAAAUCUGACUUAAGUGAGGCAAAGUCACCUUAGAAGACAUACUUUUCCCCUUUCUUACACUUUUCAUGCAAGACACAUUUUCUUUUUUUUUUUAAUUAACUUGAGUAUUUCUUAUAUACAUUUCGAGUGUUAUUCCCUUUCCCGGUUUCCAGGCAAACAUCCCCUCCCCCCUCCUCUUCUUUAUGGGUGUUCCCCUCCUCACUCUCCCCCCAUUGACGCCCUCCCCCCAACAAUCUAGUUCACUGGGGGUUCAGUCUUAGCAGGACCCAGGGCUUCUCCUUCCACUGGUGCUCUUACUAGGAUAUUCAUUGCUACAAGACCCAUUUUCUGUACACGAAUCAUAUAAGUAGUUACAGUAACAAUCGCUGCACUUUUUCUGAAGACAUCUAAUAAAUAAGGUUAGCGUUUUAGUGUUCAUUGUGGCUUUGGUGCUAGGACAGUUCUUGGAGCCAUAUUCAAAGGAACUGUGAACUGGAGUGAAGUUGCUGUGAAGGAUGCUUCUGAUGAUAACCUCACUAUGAAAUUACUGUUCUGCUGCUCCCAAGGAAAAUUCAGCUGAAUUAGCUAGCCUCUUGCAACAGAAAAAACAAACAAACAAACCAAAAAGAAAAAUUAGAGCAAGGAGCAUUUGCACUGAGGCUCCGGGGUCUUGAGGCUGCGGUGGGUCCCAAGUGUUUUAGUGUUUAUUUGACAUGAAGGUUACAGCCCCAGAGAGAUGAGUUUACUACUUAGGAUUCUCAUUUCAGUAGCAACAUUUCAUUAGAAACAGUCGUUGACAGUUUCCUUUUGGUGUCCAUGCAUGCGGUACCUGUGUCUCUGUGUGUGCCUGCACAUGUGUAAGCACGUGCAGGCGCACACAGACAUUCAUGCAUGGCUCACAUUUGUGUGGAGAUGCAUGUGUGUGCAGACCAUAGAAGAACUCUGAGGGUCAUUCCUUAGGCACUAUCCACCUUUUAAAAAUUAUUUAUUUGUUCUGCUUACAUGUGCAUGCUUAGACACUGCGGUAGUCACAGCACAACUUCAGAGUCAACUCUCUGCUAAUCCCCCUUGAUGGGGCCUGAGAAUUGAGCUCUGGUCAUCAGGCUUCCGAGGUAAGUGUCUUUAACCUGCUGAGCACUCUAUCCAGCUCCCUUUCAAAUCAUUUCCAGGCACACCUCCCUCUCACCCAGUACUCAGCAGCUAAGCCAGGAUUGAUUGCUGGGUGAUGAGGCUUGCAGAGUUGCCUUCCUUCUUAUGGGACUACAGAUCUGGGACUGACAGACACCAUGACUGUUUUUGUUCAGUGUGUAUUCAUUCUAGGGAUCAAACUCAGGUGCUUAUGCUUGAAUAGCAACUCCUCACACUGAACCAUAUUCCCAGCUCUUCCUUCAAUUUUGCAGUUCUGGGACUUGAACACAAGUCCUCAUGAAGGUUAGCUAAGUAAGUCCUUCAUGAAUGAGCAACACCUAUAGGCACAGUAAUUCUUACAUUACACCUUCCAGGUACUUGUGAAGUCAGGAACAAGGCAGAAAACACUUGCAGCAGUGGUCUUGGAAAACACAAUCCCUCAGUCUUCAUUUUCUAAGCUGUAGAUUGACAUGGUAGUGCUGACUUUUUAGGGUUGUCAUGAGAAUUAACCAAGGCCAUGUGUUGUUCCUGCCAUGUAACGAUCUUGUGGUAGAACUCCUUUAUGUAAGGACUUUGUUGUUUUAUUUCAUUUUAUUCUCUCUCUCUGUGUGCAUGUAUGUGUACGUAUAUGUUUACAUGCUACAUGUGAAUAUGUAUGUCUACGUAUGGUCAGUGUGUAUGUAAAUAAUCUAUGUUUAUGCUGUAUAUGAAAUUGUGUGUCUGCAUGUUCCUGAUGUGUAUGUAUGUCUGCAUUUGUGCAUUAUGUGUGUGUUUGUACAUGUUUGUGUGUGAUGUGUGUGUCUGUGUAUGGUUUAUGUGUAUGAUGUGUGUAUGUGCAUGAUGUGUGUGAUUGUAUAUGUGUAUAAAUAUGUGUAUGUGACGUGUUUGUCUGUGUAUGGUAUGUGUGUAUGAUGUGUGUAUGUGCAUGAUAUAUGUGCUUGUGUGUGUCUGUAUGGUGUGUUUAUAUGCAUAUGGUGUGUGCAUGUUGUGUGUGAGUAUGUGGUGUUUGUAUGGUAUGUGAAUACUGCAUUGAGGCCACUUGUGUGUGCAUGAUAUAUAUGUGGGGUGUGUGUAUGGUAUGUGUGUAGGACAUGUAUGGUAUGUGGUUUUGUAUGAUUUCUGUGUGCACGUAGCAGGGUGCACAUGCAGAGAUUGGGAAGAGAUCCUUCCAGUACCAGUUCUCUCUUUUUACAUGGGUUCCUGGAACUGAAGUCGGAUUUCAAGGCAAGGGAUUUAUUUACCUUUCGAGCCUUCUCUGGCCCUCUUUAUAAGUACUUUUUAAGUGGAGGGUUUUCCAAAUUACUGUUUUGGGUUUUUUCCCCUUUGUUUUUCUUAUCUUUUUGUAGGGGAAUUCGGUGGGGAAAAUUAUGUAGCUUUCUUGUUUUUUAACUUUUCCAAACAUCCAUAUUGUUCUUCAGAUAUUGCCAUAAGCUGAAUGGGCUUCAGGACUUGUUCCAUUCGAUGAGGUUUUGAGCAUAAGAUGUGUUUUCAAUUACUCCUGUGGAAGGUUCUUCUGAAUACUUUGAAGACCCUGGGAUUGAACUCUUGCUUUGAUAGAUUUUAUUUUAUUUUUGAGGUAGAUUUUGGCACACACCAAUCUCCUUUGCCUGGAAGAUUCUGUGAUCUCUACAUAGUUUUCUUACAUCUGUUAUAGUAAUAUUAAUAUUAGUCACUGGAAAUGAUAUCAGAGGAAUAAUAUCUUUACAGUGUGAAAUAUUUCUGCUCUCUUCAUUCCCUCCAGGAUGUUCACAUUGGGUGUGACAGAGUGUUCUACCUGGCAUGCAAGAAUGGCAUGGUGCAACUGCAUUACUAAAAUGAACAAAUGUACAUUUAGUUAACAUGAGAUUUCUUAAACUGUCACUUCAUAGAGCAAAGAGGUUAUGGCCGGAAGAUCUGAGUAAGGAUGGGUACCGUUUUUUGUUGUUGUUUGUGUUGUUAGGGUUGUUGUUGUUGUUGUCGUCGUCGUCGUCGUUGCUCUGUGUGUUUUUGGUGUCAGGGGAAGGCUGUUGUGUUCUCACUGGGGAGGAGGGUGUUAUCUAGAACUCAGUUAGAUAGUAUGUCGAACGUUUUUGUUGAUGAGGAAUUUCAUUUGGGUUGGAAGGACCACAGGAAUGGAAACUGAGUGUGAGUGGUAGGAGAGCUUGCCCUAGUCUGGGCUGCAUCCUGGGAGAGGGAUGGGAGCGUGGAAAUUGCUUCAGAAAAGGAUGGAAAUAUUGUAUCUGUAGCCAGGAAGCAGAGAAAGAUGGGUGUUGUUUCUAAGCUUUCUUUCUUCUUUGUAUGCAGUGCAAGCCUGAGCCCAGGGAAUGGUGGUGUCUAUAUUUAGGGUGGGUCUUCCCUCCUUAAUUAAUCUAAUCAAGAUACUUUAUCAGAGACAUGCCUGGUGACUGUUUCCUGGAUGGUUAUAGAGAGCAUCACAGCUGGUCCCUGGAUGCUUUAACAUGGAAUGGUGUGUGUUGAGUUGGUGCAGAGGUGACAGUUGUUGAUCAAGAACUUUGGAUUUAGCUGGAGCUUUUAAUUUUUGGAGCUAGAGUCCACAGAAACAGUACGUGUGCAAUUUACCACAUGUCAGUGAAGACAGCGAGGAUAGAGAAUAACUAGAUAUAUGAAAAUGGGUUGAAGAAAAGUGCUUAGGAGUCCUUGAAGACUACAUAUGAAGGAGGAUACACUAUGCCAUCAUGAAAACAUUAGGCAUUCUCUUAACUCUGCAGUACAGGGGUGAAUUUGGAAUACCCCAAGCACAUCAGUGUCCCCAUGGGAAUGGGGAAAAAGUAACAUACAACCAAACAUUGGAGGACAGAAUCAGUGGCCUUACUCCUCCAGAGAAUGUGUCCUUAAGGAAGACUGAGCAUUGAACUUUGUCCCCCGGGAAGGAAUCACCUCAUUUCUUAUUUUGUUAUCAUUUUGGUAAGGCUGAAUAGACAAACCCCUUGUUGUAAAGAUGUCAUUCUGCUGGUUGAUGUUUUACCCUUGUUGGAUGGUAUGUUUGAGAAGCCUUCUGGUUUUCUGUCUGAACAGGAAACUGGAGACCUUGCAGCUGGGCAACUCUGACCUGAUCCUCUUUGUACUGCUCCCCAACCUGUUGAGAGCUCCUCUCCUAGCUGGCACUCUCUCUUUCUCUUUGGGGAGGUUGGGAGGUCAUGACUCUUGUACAGGUUUUGGCAGUGCAACUGAGGGCUUACCUUCAGAACCGGUGUGGAGGAUUCUUGGAAAACGUGUCUCUGGGAAUGUGAGGGCCUUUCCCUUUGGAAGAGUCAGACAGAGGGGGUCUAUAAGGAGGGGCUCUUCAGGGCCUAUGAAGUGGCCUCUUAGUGAUUCUGUGUGGAAGUCUGUAGCCCUGACAAGGGGUUCAUGUGUGGCAGAUUUCAAGCAGCUCAACUCUUCCUUAAUGUACUUUGGGAUCAUAAAUUAUCUUAAAAGGAAGUCUUCGUUGUUUUCUCCUCUGUUAUUUGCCUCUUUUUUAGGGGAUGAGGAAAUUAAAAAGUCUCCAUCUGAAGUGAGUGCUUCGCCAAAAGGUGACACAGAAAAGACAUAGAGCAAGUGCUGAUCUCCAGGUUAAAGUCAGGCUCUCCCAUCACAGCCUCCUCACUUCUUCCCAGACCUCCUCCCCACUGCCUUCUGAUCUCCACAUGUAGACAGCCCUUAUCAUAUGGAAUUUCUCAAAUUUAGUACCUUGGUUCUCUCGUAUCUUGUGAAGUUGAUUGUGGCAACCAUACCAGGAGCCUCCACAGUUGGUUAUUUAAGGAUGGGAUUAUUAGUUCGGUUUUUUAUCUCCUACUUGAACAUUGUUGUGACUGAAAUAAAGCUUUGGCAGCCUCUGGCCCUACCCUGACUGAUGAUGGAUGAUGCAUGCUCUUCAUGUUCCUGAGUUGGAAACUUAGAGGUUUUGACGUUUCUGGGGAGGGUCAAGCCACGCAAAUGACAUACUUGAGGACUACAGCUGCAACAAAUGUAGAAUGUGGGGACUGAAUUCAUGAACUUUUUUUUGAAAAACAAGGAAGGUAAGCAGACUCUUCCAUUUAGAGAAUACAGAGGAGCUACAGAGUUUUUUUUUUCUUGAAGCCAUAUUAAUAUCUGCAUUUCUUUGUCUUAUUACCCAAACCUCAAAGCUGUACUUUAGCAUUACCUGUCAGAAAGGUAAAAGUAACAUUUGAGAUGUUCUAGAACAAGGCAGAAAAAAACACAAGAACACAUUCCUUCCUUGUAUUCAGUUUCGAGGUUCUUGCUGUGUCAGUUUGUCUUGUUUAGCAAAAUGAAGAGGUAAUGAUACCAAUAAGUGAUUUCUUUUUCUUCUUGUCAUCCACCUUCUUUAUAAAGCGAGUAUUCAUAAGAGAAAUGUCUCCCCAGUUCCCUAUUAAGUUGUAAAGCAUAUAUGAUCUAGUGAGAGAAGCCAACUACAGAGUCUAAGACAGUGGAUCAUCCCUUAACUAAUUCUUUGGUGGAAGAAGGUGGUAAUGGCAGAAAAGGUCCCUUUGAAACUCAGUAAAUGAAAUAUCAGGGAGUAAUUGCACAGUCACCCUGGUGUUAAUUCAGACUCCAACUCUCAUUUGGUCUGCUUUGGCUCCCACAGUGUUUCUCUUCAUUCAUUGGCUGCCACUGUGAUGCUACCCUACCCCACUCUGAUGUCCUGGACACUUUCCUUUUUCUGUGGCCUCUGCCACCAUGUCUGUCCCCAGUCACUCUACUAAAAUUCCAGUCCAGGCUGUUUCUCUCUCCUAUAAUUCAGGCUCUUGGGGCCUAGUUUUUUGGCUCUGUCCUGACUGCAGCAUCAAACAUAAUGUGGUUUAGCGUGUACCCAACCCCGAUGAAUUAAUAUUCAGGCGGGUUAGUGAGUGGAGGCCAAAGCCAAAUCAGACAACCAACAGGAGCCAAAUACAUACUGGAAAACCAACAUAGUGGAUGCCGAAGGAUGGAAGGGGUUCCACAGGGAAUCAUAGUCCUCGACCCCCAGGAGGCAGUGCUUGUUGGUUAGGAUUUUCUUGGUGCAGGGAAAUAUGGACACAGCAUCAAAGCACUUAGUAGGAGUGGGGACCCUUAAACACUGUGUAGAGGGCUUAGUGGAGCUGAGCCUGGGAAGGGAGAUUGGGUCAGAGCAGGUGUCCUGGAAUGGCUUGUUUGGUAGAGUUCAGAUGACUGUCUAUUGCAGGGGAUGAGCUGUUGGGUCUGGCUGGCUUCCACCAUUAAUCAUUGCCUGAACUUAAGCAAGCCCCUGGGUCUUUUUCUUCAUCUGCAAUGUGACAAGAUAACUCUCGUUGUAAAGAGAUUGAAAGGGAAAGGGAGUUUGGCUGUGAAAUAAGUAAGGAUGCCUUUUGAUCAGCUGCUUCCUGACUGAGUAUUGCUUGCCAUAGGCAAUGGGUGGAUGCAUAGAUGGAUGGAUGCAUGUCUUGCUGGAGGCACGGAUGUUGGAUUCAUGGAUGCAUGGAUGGAUGCAUGGCUGGAUGGCUGGAUGCAUGCUGGCUGGAUGCAUAAAUGGAUGGAUGGAUGCAUGCAUAGAUGGAUGGAUGCAUGGCUUGCUGGAUGCAUGCUGGAUGGAUGCAUAGAUGGAUGGAUGAAUAGAUGGAUGUAUAGAUGGAUGGAUGCAUGGAUGUUGGAUGCAUGGAUGGAUAGAUGGAUGCAUAGAUGGAUGUAUGGCUUGCUGGAUGCAUGGAUGGAUGGAUGCAUGGAUGGAUGAUGCAUAGAUGGAUGGAUGCAUGGGUGGGUGCAUGCAUGGAUGCUAAUAUGAUAUAUGGAUGUGAAAGCUGUUCAGACACAAAAUAAAAACUGAGGGUAUAGGAAUGAGCAAGUCAAUUUUGUUCCUUGUCCAGAACUCUCAAAAGAGUUUGGACUGGAGAAGCUUACAACCUUACCACUUUUAAAUACACUGUUAUAAUGUUAUUUGUUGAGAAUUUCAUACAUUGAUACAGUAUAUUUCAGUAUAUCCACUUGAAUAAUCCCUUGAAUACAGAGAAGCCUACUCAUGAGUGAGGGGCCACCACUGCAGUAUGGUCCACUCACUAGGGACCAUACCCCUAAACAAAACCCUCCCCGAGCAGUUCUCAAGUGACAGAAUCUUCUCAGCUGCAGGCAGGGGCUUCAGUGCCCUACCACAUCUGUGCGGGAAUGUUGAGUGGUUUGCUCUUCUGCUGGACACCAACUGCACUGAGUUUGUAAGUUCAACGACCAUAUCAUGAGAAUAUGUCAUUGUUUUGAUCCAACUCCUUCCGACCUUUGGCUCUUAAACUCUUUCCACCUCUUUUCUUUCCAAUAUUCCCUGAGCCUUGAGGUAACUUGAUACGGUGGGAGCUUCUGUGGCUGAGCUCUCCACAGAGAGUUCAUUCUCAAUACUCGGACUAGUUACGAAUGUGUAUUAACUACCAUCCACUGUAUGAAGAUGCUCCCCCAAUGACCACUGAGAGCUGUGUUAAUCUUUGAGCUUGUAACUGGUAUAGUUGGAUACUAUAUAUCCAUUUAAGAAAAUAGUAGUUAUGGUUCACUCCCAGGGCUUAUGAGCCUCUCUGCCAUGGUUUCCUGUCCAGAUUUACAAUGCCAGGCAAAAGUUUCCUCUUGUAGUGCAGACCUUGAAUCCACCCAGAAAAUGAUUGGUGAUCCUCAAUGCAUUCCUGCCAUUUAUGGAGCACCCAUGAGUACAUCUUGCCAGGGCUUUUGUUAUGUAGCCCUGAGUAGUCACAGUGGAGUGAGAAUAGUCUGCAUAGCAACUUCUAGCAUCAUAAAGCUAGCAGGGGUGGAAGCUUCCUGCUAAGUACUGUGCAGGCAGGUCUGUGUGAUUUCUUCAAGUUCUUUGACCUACUUGUGUGGUGUCAUCAGCUAUAGGAUCUUACCAUCACAUUCUGAUGGGUAGCCCUGAGCAAUGAGAAUUGACAACUCUGGUAUCAUCUCUGUGACAUCCUCGACCAACAACUUGAGAGCAAGGUGUCCUACAUCUAGCUCUGGACUUUGUAGCCAAUGGAAGGAGAAUUACUCACCUUGUAACAUUCAUUGUGAACACGUUCCCGGCCGUUCUGGCAUCCGAAGAAUGUGAUUCCUAUGCCCUCUUUCUCUAUCCUCCCAAUGGUCUUCAGUUUUUGGAACUCACCCCAAAGAAUCCUACAGUGUCCAGCCGCAGCUUCCUGCUAAGGUGGGAUUCUGCCAAGGGGAAGCAGAUGAUGUGAAGAGAAAAGCCCUGUAUUUCAGCCUGACUAACAGUGAGCAGUCGGUGAAGAAUCUCUACCAGUGAAUAAUGUGGAGUGUGUGACUGUGCUAUGCACUGGAAGGACAUUUAGGAGGGACACUAUCUCUAGUGGCCAGAAACCAUUUGAUAAUAACCUCUGGUGGGUUCUAAGAAAGGCGCUGGUUGAAAACCAAGAGCUAAGCUGGACCUCUGGAGCUUCAGGCUGUCCAAGAUUUAAAAGAUUCUUUCUUUAUCCUGCACUAUCGGUCAGGCAUAGAAACCAGAAACAGCAGUGAUUAUAUGUUUUUGCAGAACUACUGGGGCUUGCUGUGAAAAUAUUGUUCUUGGGGCUACAUAAAAAUAUCCAGUCAUAACUAACUGCCUCAGUGGACGCUUUUCUGGAGAGGAGGCAUCAUGAUUCAGUCUUUCAAACAGACAAAGCAACCCGGGGAUUCCUGGGGCGUCGGCUUUUCACAUCAGCAGCAGGCUGGCCCUGGACAAUGUCUGGCCAGCCACGGUCAGAGGUGACCAUUCCACAGCCUGCUCCUCAGCGCUGGUGCACUCCUUCAACCAUGCUGCAGCCCUGGAGAUCUGUAUUGAGGACAGUUGCAAUUAUCACAAGGAGAUUGGAGAGGAUGUAGAAUACCCACCAAUUGAACCGGGGAAGGCCCUGGAAGACCACAGCAGAAUCGAUGUAUUUAUGUGUCUUUCAAAUCAAAGGCUAAUUCGAGCUUUGUGGAUGUUGGCACCACGUCUCCAGAUUCUGAUCACGCUUCUCCUUUGCCACACCCAGCACCUGGUAACUGGCCAUCCUACCGGGAAACAGAAUUGACUUCUUGUUCCAUCAAAUCAAACAGGGGCCACCUGUGGGAGAGGUAGAGGUCCUGGAUUUCAAGGACCCAGCAUUGCUUUUGGAACCAGUGGGCACCAGAACCCCAGCUCCUCCACAGGCAGAUGCAGCUUUCCUAACUCCAGGCAGGAAAGACCUUGGGAACAGAAACCCCAGGUCCUAUCCAGAGAAUCUCUGCCUACCAUGAGGAGGUGUUGUUGGAGGACAAAAUCUGAAAAUCAUGGCUGGGAAAAAGGAUGUGUUUCAAUGAAUAAAGGAUGAGCACCUGGCUGCCUUGUUCCAGAAGCUGGAGGAACCUGUUUGUUCUGUUAAGCAGGAGUAUGGGACACUGCAAUAUUUAGAGGAAUUGCUACUAUAUUAACGGUUAGAGAUGUUGAGUGCUUUUUACUGGUUUUGUGCCCAAUUUUAUCAUGAACUUUUUAAGAUUAAGAAAAUUUUGUUUUAAUCUUCAAUUACUUAUAGUCUGACUUAUUUGCUUUUCUGUGGCUAUAAUGAAAUACCAUGACCAAGUCAGUUUAUGGAAGAGUUUAUUUUGGUUGGGCUUCCAUGAGACCAUCAUGGCAGGACGCUGAGAGAGCACAUGUUAAACCCCAAAUAUGAAGCAGAAUGUGUGAACAGGAAUUGGGGCUAGUCAAUAUAUACUAGCCUCAGAGCUAGCCCCUAGCAAGGUAUAGCCUGUAAGGUCACCACCAGGUUUCAGACAUUUGAGCCUAUGGGAGAUAUACUCAUUCAAACCACAUUUCCCUCCCAGGCUCCAAAGGCCAUUGUUAUACUAUGAAGUAUAUUUAAUCCUACUUCAGAAGUCCCCAUGGUCUCCCACAGUCUCGAUAAAACCCUGUGAAUUUGAAAAGUGAAUUAAUUUCAACAUACAAUGGAAAACGUAUAUAUUACUAUUUCCUAAAAGGAGGAAUGGGGGCAUAUUCAGAAAACGCUGGACCAAGAAAGACUGAUAAGGCAGCAUGUAAACAUCAAGUCCCCUAGGUCAGACUUCCCACCUGUGGGUCAUGGCCCAUUUACAGGGGCUCCCUAAGUCCAUCUGUAAACAUAUAUUUACAUUAUGAUUCAUGACAGUAGCAAAAUUACAGUUGUGAAGUAGCAACAAAGAUAAUUGUAUGGUUGGGGUUCACCACAACACAAGGAAUUGCAUUAAAGGGUCACAGCUAUAGGAAGGUUGAGAACCAGGGCUCUAGCUUAAUAUCUGAUAUCAGAGGCUUAGAUGGCACCAUCCCUCCAUCUUUCUGCCUGUAAAAUAUAUCUCUUCCAGGCUGGUUCUAUCCCAUGUAAGCAACUCUCCCUGGCAGAAAUCACAGCUUUGGCGCUUCCAACACCUUGGAGUCUGUACAAGUAUCCCAGGCUUCACUUCAUCUCUCAGGGUCUUCAUGCAGGAACUCAGGAUUAGGGUUGACUCUGAGGUCCUUUGGGUUGCAUGCUUGUGUUUUCCUAGAGAAAGAUUUGGUUUUUUUUUGCUUGAGAAAGGGUACAUACAUAGCAGAGAACAUUUUUAGAUUUGACAAAGAAGGUCAGGAAAGGGCCAUAAUUGUCAGUCUAGAAAGGGUAUCACCGAGUUACCCCUUUGUGUUGGUUGCCUCUUCUACCAGCUCUAUCUACUCUUGCUGGGUCUUGUCUCUGGAAUGAAUAAGUAGUUUGUCUUGUGGGUUGGUGAAGAUAUCUGGAAAUUUUAAUUUUUAUAUAGUUUUAGCUAUGAACUCCCUGUCUGAAGACUUAUCUGCUGUGGUGAUUUGAAUAGGAAUGACCACCAUAGGCUCAUAUGCUUGAAUGCUUGUCGUAUAAGGAGUGGCACUAUUAGGAGGUUGGGCCUUGUUGGAGUAUGUGUGGCCAUGUUGGAGGAAGUGGGUCACUGGGAAAGUGGGCUGUGAGGUCUUUAUAUUCAAGCUAUGACCAGUGUCGACACAGUCUCCUGCUCCUGCCUUCAGAUGAAGAUGUAGAAAUCUCAGCCCCUUCUCCAGCACGAUGCCUCCCUGAAUGCUGCUGUGCUUCCCACCAUGGCGAUAAUGGACGAAAUUUCUGAGAGUGUAAGCCAGCCCAAUGUCAGUUUUCCUUAUCAAAGUUGACUCAGUAACAGUGUCUCUUCACAGCAAUAAAACUGUAAGAUACCUACUCACCUACUUUUUUUGCCCAGUGAGAUUGUUCCAUCUGUUUCUGGCCCCCAAUUAUUUAUUUAAUUAAUUUUAUUUUAUUUUUUUAUACCAAAUAAUUUCUUUCUGAGUUUUCAUUUACCCAAUCUAGAUUUAUUCCUUUCUGAUCAUUUUAGUACUUGUCUUUCUUUAUUGAGUAUUACUACCCAAAUUUUUCUUAAUUUUGAGUCUUCUUGAUGGUCAUAGUUGUGUACGUUUGCCCCCAAAUGACAGCAAAUUGCUGUCAAUAUGUAUGUCAGUGUCAUUUUUUUAACCCAUGCAGUUGACUGAUUCAUAUUUGUCAUUUAAGGUCUCUUCAUAUAUCACUGUGCUUGAUUGCCUGGUUGUCUUCAUACUGGUUUAGAUGAAUUCACCUUGUUUCUCUGGGUCCAUGGCUAAUCAAUUAAUUAAUUAACUAAUCAAUUAACAUGAGUACACUGUAGCGGUCUUCAGACACAUCAGGGUAGGGCAUCAGAUCCCAUUACAGAUGGUUGUGAGUCACCAUGUGGUUUUUGGGAAUUGAACUCAGGACCUCUUACCCACUGAGCUAUCUCUCCUGCCCAGGUCCAUGCCUCUUAAGGUAUGUGCAAUAUUAGCCCUCUUUAGUCCUUACUAUAGUUCCUUGUUAUAUAGACACAAGGUAAAGCUACAUUUUCAUUACUGUAUUAAUUGUACUGUUGUUGUCUCUGUGAUGACUGAAUCUAUUUUAUUUAUUCGUUGAGUUAAAGUUAAGUACUAAUCAAUCAAGAUAUUUGAUUAACGAGAGCAGAUCAUACUGUUUAUAAUUACAAGUUUGUGUCCUAGAUCAGGGCUGGUGUGGUACCUCUGGUUGCCUAGGUUUGCUUGGGGCUUGGGCAGGGAGCCUCUCAGUACACCCUUUAGACUCAUGCUUAAUUAACACCCUGAAGCAGCUUUAGAGUGAAGCCCUAGUUGUUAAUAUUCAGUGGAGGGGGGUGGAUUUCUGUAUCAGGUUACUUUGGUUUUAAGCCACACAUGGGUUUGUCAAUUUGUUACUAAAAUUUCCAACACUAACAGCCCAUGUAAAAGACACACAAUCCAAAUAUUUUAAUUAUAAGUUAUAUGCCUAGAUUGGGCAUAUCUAAUACAAUACUAGCUUAUUUCCCAAUUCUAAGACUCCUUAUUACUUCUGGUUUCUCCCAGCCACAUGAUUCUGGUGCAUAGUGGCUUCCUUCUCUCCUCUUCAUUCAUUCUUUUUCUCCUUCUACCUGCCACCCCCUCCUGAGCCUCAAGUCCCACCUUUCCUAUCCAGUACCCAAUCAUAGACUCUAACCUUUUAUUGACCUAUUAAAGUGGAGAGAAGGUUCACAUAGCAUCACCUAAGUACAUGAUGCUCUGCUUGUGGGGUGGGGGCAACCCCUCUUGAGGAACCAAUAUGAACAAUAAUAUACAAGCAGCAUCAAGCCAAACCACUACAGUUUACUCGUAAGAUCUCAGUUUUUAGUACAAAAUCCUAUUGGAUUAUUAUGUUAGUUUUUUAAAUGUGUAUCUUACUAUAUUUCUUACACAGCUGUUUUCCAAAUGUGGGUUUGUCUGGUGUUGUGUACCAGCAUAGAGUAUUCAUAGUUAACAGUGUAUUUUCUUGCCACCAAUACAUGAAUGUUUGUUGGAUAUCCUAAAGGGUCAUAAUGGUUUUACACAGGAAAGCUAAUUGUCAGAAUUUUGUUUUGUUUUUGAGUCAGGGUUUUCUGUAUAGCCCUGGCUGUCCUGGAACUCACUUUGUAGACCAGGCUGCCUUCAGACUUACACAGAUGUGCCUACCCUCUGUCUCUGAAUGCUAGGGUUUAAGUCCUGUGCCCAGCUUGAUAUUUUUCUUUGUCAUUCUCUCUCUCCCUCUCUCUCUCUCUCUCUCUCUCUUUUUUUCUUUUGCCCCAGUCAAUGGAUUAUAUUUGGUCACAGGGUCACAGGCCAGGUAUGGCUCCAGCCUUAUUUGACCUUCUUCUUUGGGGCUCAGGUUGUUGGAGUGGCUGAACUUCUUGUAGCAGUUGACUACGCUGUGUGCAGACAUGAGUAGCACUUGUGGCAGAUCAUCUUGUCACAAUUGUAAUUCUGGACGAGGUGAUAAAGGGAUGACUCGAUGAUGCCACUGUGCAGAUGCAGCACCAGGUGGAAGGUUGACUCUUUCUGGAUGUUGUAGUUGGACAGGGUGUGGCCAUCCUCCAACUGUUUGCCAGCGAAUAUCAGCUCUGCUGGUCGGUGGGAUGCCUUACUUGUCUUGGAUCAUUAUUGAUGGUGUCACAGGGCUCAAUCUCAAGAGUAAUGGUCUUGCCCAUUAGGGUCCUCAUUAAGAUCUCCACGUUGGCAUCUGCUACUUGGCCACCUUGUUGAAGAGAAAGAGUGGUUUGGGGUUUUUGGGUUUUUUUGUUUGUUUGUUUUGUUUUUUCUUUUAAUACUUAGAUCAUUUUGUUCACUUCUCGGUGUUUGUUGAGGGCUGCUAUAAUUUGCAUUUUAAAUAUAUUUACCUGGAUCCUCAGUGCUUGCUCUGUUCUUUAUGUUAAACAGGCAGGUGUACUUUGAUUUGGGACUGAAUAGACUUUUUUUUAAUUGUUUCCAGUCUGUGUUCUUCUUUCACUGGCCUUUUAUGAGUCAGUUUUUCACAGAAUUGGCUGACACAAUGCAGGAAAGAUUCGGCCACAGCUUGAGAUAGGUAGAAAUGGGUGGCAGUUUUAGGACCUGUACUAUCAUAUUUUGGAACACCAGGGGGAUUAUUAGAAGUACUAUUAUUAUAACGUAGUGUUAUCCUAAUAGUUGGGUUAUAAUAAUCCUUAUUAACAAUCUCUGGUUAUUCUAAGUCAGUAAUUUUCCUUAUGAGAAAAUAUUUGCUUUCAUCUCCAUAAAUAUAAUAGUAAUGCGGCAGAACUAGUAAGAGCUAAUAAUGAAAUAAGAGCUAAUAAUGUGUAUAUAGACUGUUUUUUUGUGAACUAUUUUUUGAAAUAUGUCGAAUUAUAACAGCAGUAUUGUUGGUAUCAGGAAUUGCCUUGAGCAGCAACACCAUUUGGUAACUGUUGACAUGGAAACAGCCCUACUUUCCCAGUAUUCCUUUGGUCCAAAUCCCAACUCCAUGUGGGAGUAGUUAUGUCAGAUUCCAAAUGAAAGGCAGACUUCUUCUGCCCUCAUGCUCUCUCUUCUCUUCAUUCUUUUCUCUUCUUUCUCUUGCCCCUUUCCCUUGUCUUGUUCUCCCAUUAAAUCUCACCAAGUGGAACUGUGUUAGUUUUGUGUGCUCUAUUUGGAUGGGUGUGGUGGGUACUUUAUUACAACGAGAUUUUAAUAACAACAAGUAUGAUAAUUUAAGAGCUUGGAAAUCAGACUGACUGGAAAUAAAUUCCAAUUUGGGCACUCACCAGCUGUUGAACUUAUAUUACUAAUAUAAAAGUUGUGGGUGAUAGUAAUUUUUCCCUAUAGUGUUGUGAGAAUUAAUCUAACUCCUUGUGUUUUAUUACUUAUCAAGAACAUUGAGUAGUAGUAGCCAUUGUAAUUGUUUCAUUAAAUAAAAUUUGUAGAGUUGUGCAGAAUGGAGUUUAUUAAAGCUAAAUAGGUGAAACUACAUAUAACUAAGAUGUAUAAUAAGAUUAUCUUAUAAAAUUAUAAUCUUAAAGGAAGAAGGUUAGAUUGUAGAAUAGGAAAUGAUGCUAUGCUAUUGUUAGAAGUGAUAUAACAUUCUAUCAGAAAACUGAAGAAAUGGAAAUUCAUCUAUGAAGGUGGUGUACAGUCCAUAAUAUAUUCUACAUUAUGUUAAAAUUAUUCUUAAAUGUGAUUUUUAAAAAAUAACUAAAUAUGAUUUUAAUGAGACGAAUUAGUUUGGGUUUGAAUGCUCUUUUUUUCUAUUUAGGCAAUAUGUCAGUAUUGAGGGCACCUAGACAUCAGAGCUCUGGAAGGCAUGUUGAUGCUGUUUUCUUCUUUGUCUCCUGGGUGUAAGAAGUAUAACAGAUCUUAAAGAUCUGUAUUUUUGUUUGUUUAAAAAAAUUGAUACAUGAGCGAGAGAGAGAGAGAGAGAGAGAGAGAGAGAGAGAGAGAGAGAAGAGGGGGGAGUGUCUGUGUGUCUGUGUGUCUGUGUCUGUGUGUGUGUGUGUGUGUAUCUGAAAUGAUAACAAUAUAUUCUUCGGAAAGUAUUUUGUUUUUUCUCAAUUAAAUUUAUUCAUUUGUUCAAAUUGGCUACCCUUUAUUAUCACAAGUAUAGGGAAAUUAGAAUAGUACUACUUUAGUGUACGUUGAAAUAUACAGAGAAGUGUAUCUUAAAGUGAGGACUUUGUUAUCUCACAUAGAUGAGAGUUUCUGGAUGUUUUCUAUAUCUUUUUAUUGCUCAUUAAGGGAAAUUUUCUGCUAUACUGUGUCUUUAGACUUUCUCUUCUGUUCAAAUAACUCCUCCCUUAAUGUAGGUAAACAUACUAACUUCUGGGUUUUGGAUAAUUCUAUAUCAUUGAGUUGAGUCAACUGGGCAGUCUGUUUUGCAAAUGAAAUUUCAGGUUUAUGUGUGUACUACUUAUUAGUAUUAGAAGCAUUUAUUUAGCAUUUUUCUUUAGUUCUUUCUGGACAAGAUAGCUACAUUUGCAGUUUCGUUUGAAAGUCAGUUUUUCUCUUAUGUGAAAAUACUAGAAAUUUCUAGAUUCCCAACAAGGCUUUAUUUUUGUUCUAGGUAGUUUUGACUCAGCUCUGAAAGGGAUUUUUUUGAAUGUAAAGGAAUUGAUUUUAGGCUAGGGAUACUUACCUUCUGGUCCUUUGUUCUUUUGUCUGGCUUAUGUAGUGAGGCAGGAGAGCUUGUGUGUUAUAUGUCUCUUUGUUCUGAGCCCCCUGCUCUCUAAAUCUAUUUAUACCUACUUAUACCAGAAUUACAAAAGUCUGAUUGUAGUUUUUUGUCUCAUUUUCUUCUCCUACAAUCUGAACCUGGUAUCCGAGUUGCCUGUUCUUCUUUGUAAGAAAUCAAAGGCCACAGAAAACUGACUCUCCUGCUGUUAGAUUGAGUCAGUUCAUCAGAGCCAUGUUUGGUGGAGCAAGCUUUUAAUCGUAGCAGGUGAACCUCUAUGAGUUCCCAGCCAGCCUGGUCUACAUAGAACACCUUUUCAUCCUGAUGCUAACACCCAGCUGGAGUGGCAUUAUUGCCAGAAUAAACUGAAAGGAAAAGCAGGUGCACAUAAGUUCUUUAAAGCAAUAGUCCUCCCAUGGAUGGUCUCUGAAUGAUGGUGUUGGUGUUGGUGCGUUAGAAGUAAAAGUAGAAUUGGAAUAAUUAGCUCUUUGAAGGCUUUAAGAAUGCUAGUGACUGUAGAGAGAGUAUCUUGUGUAUUUGUAUGGAUAUAUCACCUUUCAGUUAAAAAAAUUAUGGCCUAUAGGAAAGGGUAGAAUAUAAGGUGGGACAUCCAGGAGGCAGAAAGAAUUCUGGGACAGAGCCAGGUCGAAGAGAUAUGCCCUAGAAAAUGUGAACAGACAGACUCGUGGUUCCUGAGUACAGGUAAUAAGCCACAGGGUGGUAUGUAGAUUUGAGUAAGUGGGUUAGAAUUUGUCAGAGAAGAGUCUAACUCUAUGGCCAAGGUAUUUGUUAAUAUAUUUUGAGUCUCCGUCUUAUUUCUGGGAGCAUGGGGCUGAGAGGAAGAACCAGGUCCAAACUUCUACAAGUGACAACAUGAAUCCAAACAAAAUCUAAAGCUGAGGAUUGACCAGUGUAUAGUUUUGGUUUCUGGAACUGGAGGAUGAUGUUCACCUGGAACUCAAUUCCAACAUAGGUUGGGAGUGAAAGCAUGAUUUUUUUCAUAUUAAAAAGAGGAGCUAUUACUUAUGUGGCUUAUGUCACUGUGCAAACACUGAAGUUUAUGUUUUUCAGUAUUUUUUAGAACUUAAAAGCAGACACCAUGGUACCUAACCUCGGCUUUCAGGAGAUGACACCAAGAGAACAGAACUUUCAAGGGAAGGCUACGGAGCAGGGAACCCCGACUCAAGGAAGGACACACGACUAUUGUAACCAGAGUCUAAAUGCCUCAUUUGAGUUAGCUGGUUUCGUAGAAGAAAUAUUUCCAUAACUGUCUUGGAAAAUUAGUCUCUUUACAAUCACAAGAUCUUCAUUUGUUUUACUACCCUGCAUUACAGUUCCAAAGAAAUUGGCAAGUCUUUCCCAUUGUUUUCCUUGUAGAAUAAAUUGUAAAACCACAAAUAUUAAAAAAAAAUCAUUGUUUUAGGAACACAUAAAUGAGAAGAAAGACAUAUAGCACAGUAGAAAGGAUCUAGAUUUUGGUUAUAUCCCAGUUACUUCUGUUUCCUGUUUUGUCAAUUUAAAAAAAAAAACAAUGGUUAUUUUAGAAACGACCCUGUUGAGGCAAAACAGAAUCUGGCCAUCUGGAUUUCUUUUCAGGAAUUAGUCUUUCUUAGUUGCCAUCAUUUGCUUACACGGUGCACAGGGGAGGGUGAUUGUAGACACACAUUUAUAAUUUAUAUGUGUAUCAGUUUUUCAAGUUUUCUAGGGUUCUUAUUAGCUGUUAAAUGUUUUCAGAAAAUUUUGAGAUUAGUGAUUUGUGUCAGUAGAUCUUGGGAUAACUUCCUGAGCUUGUUCAGUCUUUGUUUCAUUGCUUGUGGUCAGUUUCUUCAGCAUACUUGUGUACCAUGUUGCUUUUUCUUUCUGAAUUUCCUACUUCGUAUUAUUAAAUACAUAAAAAUUUAACCAAGGGACGUGUAACUGAAGGAAGUACACAGUACGUGCCCCAUGCUGAAAACUAAGAAACUACUGAGUGAACAUCUGUCAAAAUGAGGGAAAAAACUGUUGUGCAUGUUUGGUGGUGUUUCUAAGUUCCUUUGUUGCUCAGUCUGGUGGGUAGACACCAAGUCAGCUGCUUGUUUUAGUAGUCUGCAUCUAGAUUUUGACCUGGGAAGGUGCUUGUUCUUUGAAAAUAGCAGGAAACUAAUCUUCUUUUGUCUUGUUUUUCCAUCACUGGCUGGCCAAGCAUGGUUUGGCAGCAGAAUAUUUUCUUUGCUUACUUAAUUAGCUGCAUCUUAUUAGCCACUGGGUUUUUAAAAUAUUUAACAUCCUUUUAUAAUUCAUAUCUUUUUCAUUUCUUUUGGAUGGGCCACCAGAAGUCAAAUAUUAGAGGAAAUGUUUAAGUUGCACAAAAUGAAAUAUUGUUUUCCUUUAAAAAAGUGGUCAUAAUACCUUGAUACUAUAUUCUUGUUUUAACUUUAUGACAUUCAUUUUUGUAUCUUAAGGUCUUUGACCCAUUUGGAGCCUGUAAAAGUAUUUGCUAGGUAUAAAAUGACUAGAUUGUCUUUUACUAAAUUUACAACCAAACCUGUGCCUAAAACUCCUUUUCCAAUGCCUUUCUUCUACUUUUUUCCAAUAUCACAUUCUCUGAGUCAUUAUUAGACAUUGCACAAAAAUUGAACGUACUAAGAGUCAUUUAAGAAGUUAGUAUCUUUGACUUCUACACAUUAGCUCUAUAAAAAUUAGGUCUAAUAUUGACUUGUAUUGUUAGAUGAAGCAUCUUUCGUGUUUUUUGGAAACUGAUUUCUUGUUCCUUAUAUUAAGAAAUUAGGUCAAUGUAACCAGAGCAUUUGAUCCAUCUGUGACUUCCUUUGUGUGCUGUUUCCUGAAUCAUCUCUUUGAUGAUUCUGUUUAGAGCUAUUUAAUCUCUGCACAUGUUUGGGGCCUUUUACAAACCCUUCCUGGAUUCUGAGAAUGCAGAUGUUUUCUACCCUGUUAGCAACUUUACUUUUCAUUCUACAGGAGCAACAAUUUAAAUUCUAUUAGUCACAGACUGACUCUCAGUGAUUACUCUUUCACAAUUUGGUUGUCCUGGUCUCUGAUAUCUCCAACUAUUCUUCCACAUUCUUUCUCCAUGUGCUUGUCUAGUUUGCCCUCCAGUGAGGACCGUGUAUCCUUUCAUUUCCACGAAUCUCACAUAGAGUAGCUCACUCUGCUUGUGGAGAGACCCAUGCAAUCUGCUGCACUGUGGAGCAUGUCAGCUAGCCCAGUGAAGAGGAACACUCUGGUGUUGCCUCUCAGGCCAUGGCAGUGGGGGUGCAUGGCCCACACUCAGUAGUCAAAGAUGAACUUUGCAUUAUUUCCAAGUGAGAGUCUUAUUUUAAAAGUCUAUAAAAUAUAAAGGUUAUGUAACUUCCUUUUAAAGCUUAACUCAUGGUUGUAACUUUGGAAUAUAAUAUAUCAUGGCUGUUGUCUUUGCUUAGUGGCAUUUUCUGUUGGUUUGUUAUAGAAGACCCUUAAAUUCUUGCAGAUUAAAUAGUGGACUGUGGUGAAAACACUGGAUAAUCUGCUCAGCUUGUCUUGAGUUUGUAAGAAUGGGACAUGUACUUACAUUUUACCAGAAGCCAUAGCUAUGGGUGCUUGGAUCUGAAAAUAUCUGUAUGGGCUGUAUAUUAGGUAAAGAUGUUGAUGGUUAUUGGUCAGAUAAGGAAAAGUUAUUGGUGGGGUUGGUGUGGUGCUGCUUGUAUUUAAAUGCUCCCUACAUACUGGCUCCCAAGAUCUGGAAGCCGUGAGGAGCAGGUCCUCAGGUACCCCAAGUGAUGCUUUGUAAAGUUUGCUUCUUAGUUUAACUCAUCAAAAAUGGAUAGAGUCUGUGAUUAGGCAAUAGAAGAAGAAAGGUGGGACUUGAGGAUGGAGUGGAGGGUCUCAAGAGGGAGGAGAAGGGGGAACAAGAGAGGAGACCAAGGGAGGAGGAAGCCACCAUGUGAGGAGAUGGACACUGAGCAUAUGGCCUGGAAAAACAGCAAGGAACAAGGGACAUUAUGGCAUGGAAAUAGGUUAGUAUAGCUGUAAACCUGCCCAAUUAGGCUUAUGACCUGUAAAUAAAGUACCUGGAUUGUGUGUCUUUUAUUUGAACUAGUUAGAGUGUUUAAUUCCUUUUAUAAUUGGUGCCCUUGACCCUGAGAUUAAGUCUCAUGCUCUAUUGAAAUGAAGUUAGAUAUUAUACUGUGUAUUUCUGGUGGUGCAAUAACUUUGCUGUUUUUCAUAGAGCAUUGAGGUGUUUCAAUAUGUGUGAAAAAAGAGGCACUGGGUAGUAUUUUUAACUAUGUGCUAUUGCAGUGUACACAGAAUAGCUUUGUUUGGAAUUAGCUAAAGUGAUAGAUUUGGGUCUUGCUUUACUAACAUUGUUGUUUUUAGCAGAAAAAGUUCUAUAACAGCACACAUCAUGCUUAACCUAAUAGUAUUAUCCAGAGCAAUGACCAAUUUCUUUAAUAUACUUAUCCAUUAUUAAUUGACUUCUUUAUGGUUCAGGUGCCGGGCACAUUUAUACAUCUGGGUGAGAUUGCAAAUUUGGUUUGCAUAUUACAAAUGCUGUGAGCUGCAUAGUUCUCCUAAGCAAGGGGGUAGACUUCAUCCUCCUUACCACUUUCACCCUUGCCUACCCCAGGGACUGCCUGACAAGGUAACAGAAUGGAUUACAUUUAUUAAAACAUGAUACCGUGAGUUUACUGUGACGCGUUUUUCUCUGAACACUGCUGAAGAAUAAAAAAACAAUUAUACUAAUUUUUGUACUAAGUAUAGAAAUAAUGGCCAUUCAUGCAGGAGUUUGGAACCUAAAUAUUUGCACCUGAAAAUAAUAGAAACCAUAUUUCCUUAAUAAAAUUUAAGGAAAAUAUAUUUUAACAUAAUGAUUAAAUCUUAUUUUAAUGCAGACCUAAUAUCAGAUUCAUCAGUGAGUAAGAAUCCCGAUUCUACGCAAAGAAAUUGAAUUGAUUCUGUUUUUUUCAAGAGAUGAAAUUGCUUCUUGUGGUUAUGAAAGCAGGUAUGGAGAAGCUAAGUGAGUUCUAUUUCUUAAUGGAUAGUUGAUUUUUUUUUAUAUUUUUAGAAAGAUUAAGCCUCGCAAGUCAGUUCUACAAUUUCCACUUAUGAAAUAUAUAUUACAAAGGAAAUAUUUUAGUCUGAGUCCUUCAUCUAUACUACCAUGUAAAGAAUUUUAAAUAAAAUAAUAGUCCCUAGUGAUCCUCCAGUGAAAACAAAAAUAAUAAUAAUAAUAAUAAUAAUAAUAAUAAUAAUAAUAAUAAUAAUAGUAAUAGGCAUUGUCAUGUUUAGCUUCCUUCAGUUAUAAAAUGACAAGGGAUUGAAAGCUACAUUUUUCUUUUUCUUUUUCUUUUUUUAUUUGAAUGGCAUUGGCGCGGCCUUAUUAGUCAGUCUUUACAAAUAAGAAAAACUCGCCUCACAUCUGUUCAUACCUGUCCUUCUGGGCAGUAUGUCUCUUCACAGACACAGUCACAUACAUUCAAGAAACACACAGAAAAUUAAGCUGAAACUCGAUUUCCUUCUAAAUUAAAAGUAAACGAUUUUCUACCAUUGCUGAUGACCAAUGUUGGCAUCUGUGUGGUGGGUAAAAUGAGGCCGGCAGCCUUUGGGGGUCAGUGCUUAAAGCUAUUGAUCGGGGUGGAUCCAGAUACCUAUGGGGAUGCUGCCACAGGCAGCCAGCGACUAGAGAUGUUACUCAACAGACAGUUUUCUGAGGGAGCAAAGCUUAAGUUACUGGGGGCUUGGCACUCUCUCUGAUUAGCGAAAAACCUAUGAACUCUUAAGUCCUUGGGGUCAAUGAGAAAGACCAGGGAAGAGAGAAAAUUCACACACACACACACACACACACACACACACACGCACGCACGCACGCACGCACGCACGCACGCACACACAGAGUUGAUGGUAGAAGGAACAGUGUUCCAGCCCAUCAUACACAAGCCUUAACAGAUACACAUAGUUGAUGGAUGCCCUAACCCUUGUGCUUUAUUCUUUGUUCCAUCAUUUAUAUAUCCCAGCCAAAUCUUUCAAGCAUCAUUAAAUCGCAAUGUAAUUGUUUUAGUUUUCUUCUAGACAAAGACAGGAGUAAUUAUUUCAUUAUUUAUCCUUAAAAAGUAUUCUUAAAAGACUCACAGAUCUAACCACUUAUAUAAAAAUCAGUCAUAUCUACUUUAAAUCCUCAGAAUGAGUAUCUACUCAAGAGCAAUUCUUAAUAAAUCUCAUCAGGAAGCUGAGGGCAAAAAUGUGUAUAAGAAAUCAAUUGUUAGUGCCAGAGAUGUUGGCCAGUGAGUGAUUUGAGGCACCUUGAAGUUUUCCCAUAAUUCUUAGAUUAUGAGGAACAUGCUGGUAGUGAACAGAGCAGAACUCCAUAACAGCACAACAGCAUCAAGUACUCAGGACACAUAGCUCUCAGGACACAUAGUCCUUGGAGCUGUCACACUGAGUAACACCCACACA